CCUGGGACUUGCGUCCCAGGCUAACGCAUGACGUCGCGUUGCGACU
Molecule: small RNA, 46 nt
Filed under: Rosistilla oblonga
Lineage: Bacteria; Pseudomonadati; Planctomycetota; Planctomycetia; Pirellulales; Pirellulaceae
Description: Planctomycetes bacterium CA51 Acido-Lenti-1
Rfam family: Acido-Lenti-1 RNA
Source: RNAcentral